Mycena olivaceomarginata is the source of this 99-nucleotide non-coding RNA. NCBI's taxonomy places the organism in Eukaryota, Fungi, Basidiomycota, Agaricomycetes, Agaricales, Mycenaceae. The record is from the annotation of a GenBank genome assembly.
GCUGUUGUGGACCAUGGUUGGUCGCCUUCCCACAAUUAAACAGCAGGCGACCUUGUUCGCGUUGUGAAGGAAACCGAGGUUCGAUUCCUCGCGGCGGCA